Molecule: unclassified non-coding RNA, 206 nt
Filed under: uncultured fungus
Lineage: Eukaryota; Fungi
Description: sequence contains ITS1
Source: RNAcentral
UAUUCAUUAUGAUCCUUGGCAAUAUGCUAUAGAUGCAGAUCUCAAUCUUGUAGAGAAAGCUAUCGUUACUAAUGUAUAUGGACCAUGGAUGUUGUGUCAGGCCUUCAUACCUAUAAUGAAGAGAAACGGAUAUGGACGUAUAGUGAAUGUUUCCAGCCUAGGGGGCUCACUGCAUUAUAUGCAGGAAGGAGGAGCUCCCGCUUAUA